This 362-nucleotide ribosomal RNA is filed under the name uncultured eukaryote. RNAcentral describes it as "LSU rRNA". It matches the Rfam family "Bacterial large subunit ribosomal RNA", at positions 2125 to 2486 of the family's 2925-position model. The record is from RNAcentral.
GGACUUUAUUUGCGCAGCAUAGGUGGGAGGCAUUGAGUUUAUUCUUGCGGGAAUUUAGGAGCCAUCAGUGAGAUACCACUCUGGUAAUGUUAGAUUUCUAACUUUGUAUCAUGAUCUGGUCAAAGAACAGUUUCAGGCGGGCAGUUUGACUGGGGCGGUCGCCUCCCAAAUGGUAACGGAGGCGUACAAAGGUUUCCUCUGAACGUGUAGAAACCGUAUCUAGAGUGUAAAGGCAUAAGGAAGCUUGACUGUGAGACCUACAAGUCGAGCAGGGACGAAAGUCGGUCUUAGUGAUCUGACGGCGCUGAGUGGAAAGGCCGUCACUCAACGGAUAAAAGUUACUCUAGGGAUAACAGGCUGAA